GACGAACGCUGGCGGCGUGCCUAACACAUGCAAGUCAACUUGAGGGAAGGAGCAAUCUGACCUGAUGGUGGCGCAAGGGUGCGUAACGCGUAAGUAACUUGCCCCAAGGUAAGGAAUAACGUCGAGAAAUCGGCGCUAAUACCUCAUAAUGCAGCGGAUCCGCAUGGAUAUGUUGUUAAAGGUUUACCGCCUUGGGAUAGGCUUGCGUCUGAUUAGCUAGUUGGUGUGGUAAUGGCACACCAAGGCUACGAUCAGUAACUGGUCUGAGAGGAUGAUCAGUCACACUGGAACUGAGACACGGUCCAGACUCCUACGGAGGCAGCAGUGAGGAAUAUUGGGCAAUGCACGAAAGUGUGACCCAG
Molecule: ribosomal RNA, 362 nt
Filed under: uncultured bacterium
Lineage: Bacteria
Description: bacterial SSU rRNA
Rfam family: Bacterial small subunit ribosomal RNA
Source: RNAcentral